This 817-nucleotide ribosomal RNA is filed under the name Arthrobacter pascens. Its description in RNAcentral is "bacterial SSU rRNA". It matches the Rfam family "Bacterial small subunit ribosomal RNA", at positions 22 to 849 of the family's 1533-position model. The record is from RNAcentral. Lineage: Bacteria; Bacillati; Actinomycetota; Actinomycetes; Micrococcales; Micrococcaceae.
CCCGCAGAUGAACGCUGGGGGCGUGCUUAACACAUGCAAGUUGAACGAUGAUCCCGAGCUUGCAGCGGGGAUUAGUGGCGAACGGGUGAGUAACACGUGAGUAACCUGCCCUUAACUUUGGGAUAAGCCUGGGAAACUGGGUUUAAUACCGGAUAUGACUGACUGCCGCAUGGUGGUUGGUGGAAAGCUUUAUUGUGGUUUUGGAUGGACUCGCGGCCUAUCAGCUUGUUGGUGAGGUAAUGGCUUACCAAGGCGACGACGGGUAGCCGGCCUGAGAGGGUGACCGGCCACACUGGGACUGAGACACGGCCCAGACUCCUACGGGAGGCAGCAGUGGGGAAUAUUGCACAAUGGGCGCAAGCCUGAUGCAGCGACGCCGCGUGAGGGAUGACGGCCUUCGGGUUGUAAACCUCUUUCAGUAGGGAAGAAGCGAAAGUGACGGUACCUGCAGAAGAAGCGCCGGCUAACUACGUGCCAGCAGCCGCGGUAAUACGUAGGGCGCAAGCGUUAUCCGGAAUUAUUGGGCGUAAAGAGCUCGUAGGCGGUUUGUCGCGUCUGCCGUGAAAGUCCGGGGCUCAACUCCGGAUCUGCGGUGGGUACGGGCAGACUAGAGUGAUGUAGGGGAGACUGGAAUUCCUGGUGUAGCGGUGAAAUGCGCAGAUAUCAGGAGGAACACCGAUGGCGAAGGCAGGUCUCUGGGCAUUAACUGACGCUGAGGAGCGAAAGCAUGGGGAGCGAACAGGAUUAGAUACCCUGGUAGUCCAUGCCGUAAACGUUGGGCACUAGGUGUGGAGACAUUCCACGUUCUCCGCGCCGU